ACAGACUAUUUAAACGAUGUCCUUACUAGCUUUCUGGGCCUUGAGUUGUUUCAGUUGUGUUGCUGUCUAUUCAGGGUCAGAAAGCUCUCAGAUUUCAUCAAAAUAUAUAUUUUAAUUUGUGUUGAACAAAGGUAUUACAGGUUUGGAACGAUGUGAGGGAGAGUAAUUAAUGACAGAAUUUUCAUUUUUGAGUUAACUAUCCUGUUAACAUAUUGAAGCAGUGCAGCACCAGCAUGGCAAUGUAUCUCUAAGACUGUUUUUUGAGUCUUAUUAUAUUUGUGAGAAGUUUUACUAACAUUUUAUUUUACGGUGUCCUUGUACUUACAUGUACUUAUGCAUAAUUAUGCAUAAUUGCAGGCAACUAAGCCUAAAUCAAACCCUCAUAAUAACCCUAUAGUAAGUACAAGUAGUUAAUUGAUAUUAAUUACUACUUGUAUGUAUAAUUACACUGUAAAAAUUACACUUUAAAAUAGAGUGUAACUAAAGUUUUUUUUUAGUCCAAAUUUUAGAGCCUGUUUGAAAUAAAUCACUCUUGGGAUAUAAAAAAAUAGUUGAUUACUUCAGUGAGAUGGUUCUUUUAAUCAGCUGAAAGACCCAAGUUACUAGUUUGAAAAAGUCCACAAAACCUUCAUGGAACAAAGCUGGUUUUGCUGACUUUCUUUCUAGAAAGUUUUGCGCUAUUUAUAUUGUGUAAGUUUUCAGUGCAAACUGAACAAAACAGCUGUGAAAAAAAGUGUACCGUGAAAUAGCGUCAAAAACUUUAUAUUAUGUUUUGUUUAGGGGCAGCACAUGAAAACUGUAAUUAAAAUUGAUGAAAAAAUUGUAAAUUGAUUCACAAAUGAAUGAUCCUUAACAGCUAGUUCUUUCUAGUGCAUAAAAAUCAUACAGUGCAACCAAUGUUACACAAUUAAAAAACAACUGCCUCUUUUAAUAAAUCAUUCCGAACUCACUGAAAAAACUCAUGAGUUUCAUAUUAAAUUGAGUGUUGCACUGACUUUCAGCGUUGGCGAAUACUGAGGGAAUUGUGAAUCUGAGUCGGCAGUUCAUACUGAAUGAGAAUGAUCAAAAGAUUGUGUACCAUGAGUUUACAUUGAAACAUAUUUUUGUUAUUGAGCUGUCCUUGCUGGCUGCACACAAAAACAUACAGCACAAGCAGUAUAGUGCAAUUCACGGAUGAAUGACUAUUAGGUGCCGCUCGCUUUUAGCAAAUCAAACAGGUGCAGAGCAACCAGCUUAAUCCAAUUCAUAAACAAAUGGCUAUUGAGAGCCGGUUCCUUUAUUAAAUUGUUCAGCAGGCUCACAGUUCACGAGUUUCAAAUCAGUCUGGCAAAUACUUCAUUGAAUGAACACUCUUAAUGACCUAUAACACUUUCUUACUGGUUUACUGCUACUGAAAUACAGAGACACAUUUUUAUAGAAGCUUAUUUCUACCACUAAAUAAAAAAAAGGUAGUUGUGAGUUUUCUCAAUUAGAACUGUGAAAUAAAAGGUUGUUAAAAAAAUUGUUUAUUCUGCAGUGGAAACAACUAUGACAUUUUUUUCUCAGUUUCUCAGUUUAUAUCUCACAUUUCAGACUUCUCAGAAUUGCAAGUUUAUAUACAGCAUUUUCUUAGUUUAUAUCUGAAAAUGUAGUUUUCUUCCCAGAAUCGCAAGUUUAUAUCAGGAAAUUCUGAUUUUAUAUCGUACAAUUCUGACGUUUAUAUCUUACAUUUAGAAAAAUGGUUGUAUGACUUAAAAAAAAAAAACAAAACAACAACAACAACAAAAACACAUAUAUCAGAUGAUCAUUGAUAUAUCGGUCAGUGGAUGCGUGCAUUUGUUUAGUAAUGGCCAUCUUUAUCUGUAAAUAAAGAAUGUUGCUUAUCUAUUAGCUUCAAACUGGGUAAAAGGUUUCAGAUAAAGUCAAUGUUUGAAUUAACGGUGAGUGGACUGUACAAAUAGCAACAGAAAUUCAGCUGUCAGUCAGUUGUUUUGGCAAAACAUUAAGCUGAGAUUAAUUACGAGAGGAGGUCAUGGACCAUAUGUUAGUGUUUGCAGCAUAUAUGUCGCGUUAUCAAUCUUUAUGAGAAUAUAAGGCCAAAACGCAUAUAUUUCCUACCACAUGUGAUGCGAAGACAAGCCCGCACUGUUGGCCUGACCCUGGUUACUAUGGUUACGAUGUGUACUUUGUUGUAGCCACUGUCUGCCUGGUAACCCAGUUCUUGCUAAUUGCUGUUGUCUUGGCAACAAGGUGCCCAAUGUAAUCUGAAAAAAAUGGGUAACAAUCUGCCACAAAUGUAUGUAUUCAUUAGAAGAAUUCAGCCUCUCCCUUCUGGCGUUCCUUUGGCAGACUAGACCACAUUUUAAUCUUUGUGUUUUUUGGUUAGAAUAAAGUGAGUCGACACACCUGACCUUACAAGAUCACACUUAUUUCGACGCAACCUCGACUCUGGGCUGUCAGCCACCUGUUAGAUAGCAGUGUAAUACGAAACGGAAAGGGCCUGCUCUGGUGUAGCAUCAUGUGUUAUCACGUAAUUCAAUAGAGAGGACCUACACUGAUUUUCACCCCAGUGAGAUGUGCACAUCAUCAUUCAGAGGAGACAAUGAGUCUAACGAGCGUGUUUAGUUCAAUAAUUCAAUAAUGAAAUUAAACGUGUAGCUCACUGUACCUUAUACGACUCUGCUAUUGCUGUAUAAAAUUUCUAAAUGAUGUACUUAAAGUAAAUCUGAAUAUCAAUGCAUAUUUCUUUAUUCUUUACAAUAUAUGCUGCUGAUUUUAAAAUUGUUCCAUCACUCUCAGAAAAAAAAGGUACAAAUCUAUCACCAGGGAGGAACCCUUUUGAAAUAUGUACCAUUUAGGUACCUUUAAAGUACUAAUAUGCACCCUUUAGGGGUAAAUAAGGUCCAAAAGUGUACCUUUUGAAAAGGUACCAUCCCCAUAGCUUUUGUACCUUUUUUUCUGAGAGUGAACAUUAUUUAAAAAGGUCUAAUACUAUUUAAUAUAAUCUUUUUUGUAGAAGGAAUGUGAAUUAGGGCUCCAGAAUGACAAAAAGCAGCAUGCAAGCAUUAUAAAAGUGGUUCAUAUGUCUUCUGAAGCCAUGUAAUGACCAAAUAUCCUAAUGUUCUUACUCUUAGGAUUCUUUUGUGGUGCCUUUCUUGGUCCCACUUUAUAUUAGUGGCCUUAACUACUAUGUAGUUACAUCAAAAAAUAAGUACAAUGUGUUUAUUGUAUUCGUAUUGUAUUGUGAAACACUUCUGCUGCUAUUGAGGUGGGAUACGGGUAAGGUUAGGGACAGGUUUGGUGGUAUGGGUUGGUUUAAAGGGAUAGUUCACCCAAAAAUGAAUAUUACCCCAUGAUUUACUCACCCUCAAGACAUCCUAGGUGUUUAGGACUUUCUUCUAUGAACAGAUUUUUACAUGUACCUCUAGUUUUCUCCUCCUCUUCUCUAAAGCAGCACAACAUGGCCUCGCCCCCUUUGUUGCGUUUUCCCAGGGCCAGGGUUUAUCUGGGUUCAUGACGUAACGGACCUGGGAAGAAGCUGCUUGUAGUCCCUUACCAGCCAUUUUUGUAGGCAUUAAACUGCCAGAAUUUUAAAAGACGAUAUCUCCGUUUGCAUUGAAUUUUGCAGAUAUUGUUUAUGCACAAACAGCAACAUUACACACUAACUUACAUUUAAAAAAGUUAAAAUCGCAAUCAACCACCCCUUUAAAUGAUUUCUGAGUUGUGAAUGCAAGUUCUCAGUGUGAACUGAACAAAGAGAUUUAAAAAAUGUGCUGUGAAAUAAUGGCAAAUAUAUCUUUAUAUUGAAUUGAAACAUGCAGAAAAUUUGUGAAAUUUACUCAUGAAUGAUUUAUUCCUUAAAAAAAAAAAAGCAAGGAUAUUUUUCAAAAAUCUACAUUUUUUGUUUGACAAAACAAACUCAUUCAGGUUUGAAACAACAUGAAGGUGAGUAAAUGCCCAUUUGUUUAUACUUUUGUGCUGCUUUUUUAAUUAUUUGAGUGAACUACUGCUUUAAAACAGGAAAGGAAUGUAACUACAUUGUGUUUAAGGGUGCACUGCAGGAUUCUCUCUAUCAUCCCUCUUUUUCUCUCUUUGUCCCAUCACAACGCACCAAAUAAAUUAUUAUGUGAUGCAGUAAAGCAAAAACAAGGAUCUGAACACUGAAUUUACUGAUUUUAAAUGUAUUAGUUCAACAAUUUAUUUCUGACCAAAAGAAACCCUCUGUUGUGUACCUUUAACAAUGUACUGUACUUUUCCAUUCACUUACAAUAUUUAAAAAUUAACCCAAAUUUAUUUUAAUUUCAUUUAUUUGGACUGUUCAGUAUAGAUAGCAUGUAAUAAACAUUUACCACUGCAUGUUUAGUUAACUCGGAAGCAUUUCUAAAAAACAGCAGCUUAGGAAAAAAAGCUAAAUCCAUCUCCAGAGAUCAUUUAGUGGAUGCUGAGUUUAAAAACAGCCAAUGUGCGUAAAGAGGUUGUCACUGUUCUCUCUUUUGAGUGUGAAUUCAUGUAUGUGUCACAUACAAGUAAUUUAUACAGAGUCAUAUUGAGAUGCAUACAUCAAAACUAGCAUUUUUUACCCAUAUUAUGCUCCAAACCAGUCAUUUGCAUUCAGCAUCAACUCACAAUGAAUGUAUAGCAGAUAAUUUAAAACAUUAAUACGUCAAUUAUGUAUGCUUUCCUUAAACUUUGCUUGUUAUGCCUAAAACUGGGUGGCUCUUGUAUAAAAGAAUGUUCAGUAGGUUAUUCAUACUUGAUUUGUGAAAAAAAUGCUUUGUUCUUAGAGAUGUUUUAUGUAUGCAAUUACUAUCCAUCUUUCUGAUUAACAAACAUACGCUUUAGCUUAAUAGGACCUUCGCCCGCCUCUUAACAAAACAUGCGUUGGUCCCUGUAUAUAUGUUUAGAUGUUUCUAAAUAGGUUCUCCUGCUCUCAAUUUCCAUUUGCAGGCUUCUUCAAAACCCAAAACCUUUUCACUGAGAUGUUUUGUGCCUGAUUAGCUUCUUCUGAAGUGCCUCACAUCCUUGCUUCGCCCUUAAUGCUGUCGGCAGCCAUCGAAGACCUUGCUGCACGGUGGAAAUGAUCAUUCCCCCAUUACCAAGGCUCCACUAUUUUUAACUGCUGAAUGAAACCUCCUAACCUUUCCCUUUUCACACCAGAGCACAUGUCUGAAAGGUAACUGCCCCAAUAAUGCACCGCGACAUGUGUCAGGUACACUAACCAAGACCUGCGCUCCAAGAAAUAAAGGUAAUUUGAUAAUUCUCUGUUAGAGUAUGCAGAGUGAAGAGCACUUAUAAAAGUGUUACCUUCAUUGUUCCUGCUUUGAAAAUUCACAUAAGGUCAUGGUUGGAGCUAAUGAGCCCCAAUGAAUUGGAUGAUAUUAUUUUUUUUGAAAUGCUGGAAACAUGUUUAAGUGGGAAAAUAGCACAGACGGCUUCGGCUGUGUGCUUCAAUUUUUAUAGAUGGACAACUAACUAAACAAAUAAAAAACACUGGAGUCAAGCUAAGGCAACAUGCCUGUAAAAAUAGUUUUGGAUAUGCAAAUCACUGGUUCAAUUCUUGUUUGUAUUCCAGAUACAUAAAGCUUGAGUUGAACUGGCAUAUAUACACAUGAGGGAAGCCUUCUCAGGAGGACGAGAUCUGGGAGUUUAUCCUCAAACGCAGAAUAACUGCAUUCUGUGUCAGGUGGCAGUAGUUAGCUUUCUAACUGCUUGAGAUGUAUUUGAAUAUUUCACCAUGACCACAGUAGAAUAGAGAGUGACUCAGACUUGCAAUGAUUUUACAAGGCUGAGAAGGAAAAGAGAAACACAUAUUUCUUAUCUACCAUUCUGGUCUGAAACAUGUCAUGAAUCCAAGGGGAUGGAGAUGUUGUCCAACCUAUGGAAGGAAAACAGAGGGAGAAAAUGAAAGAGAAAGAUCGGGCAUCGUGCUGCUCGCAAACUGACAAUUCCAGCGACUCUAGUUGACUGCUACUCUGCUAUUCCUGUUAGAGGGCUGAACCCACUCUGCCUUGUUGGCACAAAUAUUUUUAGCCUUGGCGUUUUGCAGAGAGACCAGCACUGAGAGUGAUGGGGCCACACAGGCAUCCAACUGCAAAAGGGCAGCGGUGGGAUGAACAGGGCGGAGGCGGGCAAGGUCACAUGAGGCCACUGGAGACGAGAGACUGGAAGAUGAUGUGAUGAGAUCUGGUGAUUGAGUCUUGUAGAAUCUGUCUUUGACAAACUGCAUCUUAUGCCUCUAAAAAGGCUAGCGUGGUAUUUUUUAGCUAAAAAUAAAAAAAAACUUAAUCGCGACUUACCUAAAAUUAC
This is a long non-coding RNA of Cyprinus carpio (common carp), 6285 nucleotides long. RefSeq lists it as uncharacterized. Lineage: Eukaryota; Metazoa; Chordata; Actinopteri; Cypriniformes; Cyprinidae. The transcript has 4 exons. The record is from RefSeq and is a predicted model, not a curated record.